Molecule: non-coding RNA, 419 nt
Organism: Onthophagus taurus
Lineage: Eukaryota; Metazoa; Arthropoda; Insecta; Coleoptera; Scarabaeidae
Source: RefSeq, a predicted model, not a curated record
GCAUUGUUCUCGAGAUGUUUUUCAAAAAUCUUCGAUAAUUCUUGGUAUAAAAGGAGGUGAACUUUUUGGAGACUUCACACAGCUACAAAAAUGAAAUUUAUCUACGUCUUUACAGUCGCCGUUGUGUUUGGUGUGCUUUAUGCACAGGUUAACGCCGGUACCACCUCAAACGUAAGAAAAAUGGAUGAUACUAAAGAUGACGAUGGUCAUGCUCGCCACGAAAGAGAUGUCGACAAUGGUAAACCUACUGACGAUGACAAGAAACAAAUAGCUCCUUGUUGUGGACAAGAACCGUAACGGACGCAAUAACCAAGAUAACCAAAAUGAAUAAAAAAAAAUGGUAUUAACCACACAGUUUGUUUUCAAGUUAUAAAUCUCUCACGUUUCAAAGAAUGAAUAAAUAAAUAAAUUGCAAAGUA